GGCCCAUCUAUAACAGAAACCAGAAAAACAAAAAAACGUUAAUGAAAAGAUAUAACUUUCUUUCUUCAUCCUAGAUGGUGCAAGUCUUUUUAGUGUUCUCUUCUAUUUGUAAUAGGUUCUGAAGUCCAAUGGCAAUUUCCAAUUGAAGUUGAUCGGAAUGUGGGGUGUCCUCAUCGUGAUGGACCUUGCUGGAGUUAGAAUCCGAUAGAGCCAGAUUCAGAAGAGCAUCAGAUUGAUCAGAAGAGGCAACUACACUUAAGGACUGUCCAAACUCCCAGACUGCCUUGGCUUCAACACCUACAUUAGAAUAAGGAUUUGGGGGAUGCUUCAGGCAGGCUGAGGAAGACUUGGAGUUAGGUCAAGAACACCUACAUUAGAGCCAGAGAGGUUGGUGUUAAUUGGGGCGAGGGGGAUGUGUUUGGUAUUAUGGACGGGGCUUUGGAUGGGGAAAAUAGGAGGAGAAGGUUUAGAAGAUUCGGGAGGAGAAUUUUAGUGGGCUCAGUUGGUGAAUAGGAAGUGAAUGUGUGGUUUUGGGAGUGUGAAU
Non-coding RNA from Lupinus albus (white lupine), 544 nucleotides. The record is from the annotation of a GenBank genome assembly. NCBI's taxonomy places the organism in Eukaryota, Viridiplantae, Streptophyta, Magnoliopsida, Fabales, Fabaceae.